Molecule: transfer RNA, 73 nt
Filed under: Octopus vulgaris (common octopus)
Lineage: Eukaryota; Metazoa; Mollusca; Cephalopoda; Octopoda; Octopodidae
Also listed under: 2 other names
Rfam family: tRNA
About the family: Transfer RNA (tRNA) molecules are approximately 80 nucleotides in length. Their secondary structure includes four short double-helical elements and three loops (D, anti-codon, and T loops).
Source: Rfam by way of RNAcentral
GCCCGCAUAGCUCAGUCGGUAGAGCAUCAGACUUUUAAUCUGAGGGUCGCGGGUUCGAGUCCCUCUGCGGGCG